This is a non-coding RNA of Pelobates cultripes (western spadefoot toad), 510 nucleotides long. Lineage: Eukaryota; Metazoa; Chordata; Amphibia; Anura; Pelobatidae. The record is from the annotation of a GenBank genome assembly.
AAAAUGCAAAAGUAAAUAAACUCUAUAAUUGGAACACAGAGUAUAUCAAAUGCACAAAAAAUAUGUGCACAAAGAUCUACCAAAAUACAUUUGCAACACUGCAGGAAAAAAGGCUGCAGUCUAAGUAGCCAGCAAUAUAAGUGUAAAGCAAACUGCCUAAACAGCUGUAGGAGAUUUGGGGGAAGGAGUCCCUAAUAUCAUGCUGGUAAUAGACUAGUAUCUAAUCCCACCAUAAAUAAAUGAUAGGACAGUCUGAAAACAAAAUAGAAUCCUAAAUUAAAAUCAUCAUCCGCUUUAGUGCAGUGCUCAACGCGCGUUUCGGCGAAACAAGUCACCUUUAUCAAGAGCAAUUUGCAGACUGAAGGGAGCCUCUUUUUAAAUGUGUUUAAAGCUCCACCCGUAAGCAUGAUGUAACCAUUGUUAUCCAAUCAGGAAUUAGGGGGCGGAGAAAAGUACCAAGCUCAACAGGAGUGAAGCUAAUUGUAGAUUUAACCCUCACAUAACCAAAAU